GCUCCGUAGGUGAACCUGCGGAGGGAUCAUUACAGAGUUCUCGCCCUCGCGGGUAGAUCUCCCACCCACUGUUAUCGUUACUGUGUUGCUUUGGCGGGCCGCCGGGCCCCGCUCGGCCGCCGGCUCCGGCUGGCGCGCGCCCGCCAGAGGCCCAGCAAACUCUGAAUGUUAGUGUCGUCUGAGUACUAUAUAAUAGUUUAAACUUUCAACGACGGAUCUCUUGGUUCUG
This 229-nucleotide unclassified non-coding RNA is filed under the name plant metagenome. Its description in RNAcentral is "partial contains small subunit ribosomal RNA, internal transcribed spacer 1, and 5.8S ribosomal RNA". The record is from RNAcentral.